AUAUUGGACAAUGGGGGGAACCCUGAUCCAGCGACGCCGCGUGAGUGAAGAAGUAUCUCGGUAUGUAAAGCUCUGUCAGCAGGGAAGAAAGAAGACGGUACCUGACCAAGAAGCCCCGGCUCACUACGUGCCAGCAGCCGCGGUAAUACGUAGGGGGCAAGCGUUAUCCGGAAUUACUGGGUGUAAAGGGAGCGCAGACGGUCAUGCAAGUCUGGAGUGAAAGGCGGGGGCCCAACCCCCGGACUGCUCUGGAAACUGUGAGACUGGAGUGCAGGAGAGGCAGGCGGAAUUCCUGGUGUAGCGGUGAAAUGCGUAGAUAUCAGGAGGAACACCGGUGGCGAAGGCGGCCUGCUGGACGACAACUGACGCUGAGGCGCGAAAGCGUGGGGAGCAAA
RNAcentral lists this ribosomal RNA (395 nucleotides) under uncultured bacterium. RNAcentral describes it as "bacterial SSU rRNA". It matches the Rfam family "Bacterial small subunit ribosomal RNA", at positions 361 to 772 of the family's 1533-position model. The record is from RNAcentral.